This 300-nucleotide ribosomal RNA is filed under the name uncultured Desulfurococcus sp. RNAcentral's name for it is "bacterial SSU rRNA". It matches the Rfam family "Bacterial small subunit ribosomal RNA", at positions 496 to 795 of the family's 1533-position model. Lineage: Archaea; Thermoproteati; Thermoproteota; Thermoprotei; Desulfurococcales; Desulfurococcaceae. The record is from RNAcentral.
GCUAACAUCGGGCCAGACGCCGCGGUAAUACGAAGGGUGCAAACGUUGCUCGGAAUUAUGGGGCGUAAAGCGCGCGUAGGCGGCUUGGCAAGUCGGAUGUGAAAUCCCUCGGCUCAACCAAGGAAGUGCAUCCGAAACUGCUGAGCUUGAGUACUUAAGAGGAUCGCGGAAUUCCCGGUGUAGAGGUGAAAUUCGUAGAUAUCGGGAGGAACACCAGUGGCGAAGGCGGCGAUCUGGGAAGAUACUGACGCUGAGGUGCGAAAGCGUGGGGAGCAAACAGGAUUAGAUACCCCUGUAGUC